Molecule: ribosomal RNA, 497 nt
Filed under: uncultured bacterium
Lineage: Bacteria
Description: partial 16S ribosomal RNA
Rfam family: Bacterial small subunit ribosomal RNA
Source: RNAcentral
GAUGAACGCUGGCGGCGUGCCUAAUACAUGCAAGUCGAGCGGACGGACGCGACGCUUGCUUCUCUGUUGUUAGCGGCGGGCGGGAGAGUAACACGUGGAUCACCUACCUAUAAGACUGGGAUAACUUCGGGAAACCGGAGCUAAUACCGGAUAAUAUUUUGAACCGCGUGGUUCAAUAGUGAAAGACGGUCUUGCGGUCACUUAUAGAUGGAUCCGCGCUGCAUUAGCUAGUUGGUACGGUAAAGGCUUACCAAGGCAACGAUGCAUGGCCGACGUGAGAGGGUGAUCGGCGACAUUGGAACUGGAACAGCGUCCAGACUCCUACGGGAGGCCGCAGUAGGGAAUGGUCCGCAGUGGUCGGAAGUAUUACGGAGCAACGCCGCGUGAGUGACGAAGGUCUUCGGAGCGUAAAACUCUGUUAUUAGGGAAGAACAGAUGUGUAAGUAACUGUGGACAUCUUGACGGUAAUUAAUCAGAAAGCCACGGCUAACUACGUG